RNAcentral lists this ribosomal RNA (513 nucleotides) under uncultured bacterium. RNAcentral's name for it is "partial 16S ribosomal RNA". It matches the Rfam family "Bacterial small subunit ribosomal RNA", at positions 28 to 523 of the family's 1533-position model. The record is from RNAcentral.
GAUGAACGCUGGCGGCGUGCCUAAUACAUGCAAGUCGAGCGAACAGACGAGGAGCUUGCUCCUCUGACGUUAGCGGCGGACGGGUGAGUAACACGUGGAUAACCUACCCAUAAGACUGGGAUAACUUCGGGAAACCGGAGCUAAUACCGGAUAAUAUAUUGAACCGCAUGGUUCAAUAGUGAAAGACGGUUUUGCUGUCACUUAUAGAUGGAUCCGCGCCGCAUUAGCUAGUUGGUAAGGUAACGGCUUACCAAGGCAACGAUGCGUAGCCGACCUGGGAGGGUGAUCGGCCACACUGGAACUGAGACACGGUCCAGACUCCUACGGGAGGCAGCAGUAGGGAAUCUACCGCAAUGGGCGAAAGCCUGACGGAGCAACGCCGCGUGAGUGAUGAAGGUCUUCGGAUCGUAAAACUCUGUUAUUAGGGAAGAACAAAUGUGUAAGUAACUAUGCACGUCUUGACGGUACCUAAUCAGAAAGCCACGGCUAACUACGUGCCAGCCGCCGCCGUAA